RNAcentral lists this ribosomal RNA (255 nucleotides) under uncultured bacterium. RNAcentral's name for it is "partial 16S ribosomal RNA". It matches the Rfam family "Bacterial small subunit ribosomal RNA", at positions 524 to 776 of the family's 1533-position model. The record is from RNAcentral.
UACGUAGGGUGCAGGCGUUAAUCGGAAUUACUGGGCGUAAAGCGUGCGCAGGCGGUUUGCUAAGAGAGAUGUGAAAUCCCCGGGCUUAACCUGGGAACUGCGUUUCUAACUGGCAGGCUUGAGUGUGGCAGAGGGGGGUGGAAUUCCACGUGGUAGCAGUGAAAUGCGUAGAGAUCCGGAGGAACACCGACGGCGAAGGCAGCGCCCUGGACGAGACCUGACGCUCAGGCACGAAAGCUGGGGGAAGCAAACAGG